RNAcentral lists this ribosomal RNA (365 nucleotides) under uncultured bacterium. Its description in RNAcentral is "bacterial SSU rRNA". It matches the Rfam family "Bacterial small subunit ribosomal RNA", at positions 541 to 903 of the family's 1533-position model. The record is from RNAcentral.
UUAUCCGGAAUUAUUGGGCGUAAAGGGCUCGUAGGCGGUUCGUCGCGUCCGGUGUGAAAGUCCAUCGCUUAACGGUGGAUCCGCGCCGGGUACGGGCGGGCUUGAGUGCGGUAGGGGAGACUGGAAUUCCCGGUGUAACGGCGGAAUGUGUAGAUAUCGGGAAGAACACCAAUGGCGAAGGCAGGUCUCUGGGCCGUCACUGACGCUGAGGAGCGAAAGCGUGGGGAGCGAACAGGAUUAGAUACCCUGGUAGUCCACGCCGUAAACGGUGGAUGCUGGAUGUGGGGACCAUUCCACGGUCUCCGUGUCGGAACCAACGCGUUAAGCAUCCCGCCUGGGGAGUACGGCCGCAAGGCUAAAACUCA